AAUCCAUAGGUUAAUGAGGCGAACCGGGGGAACUGAAACAUCUAAGUACCCCGAGGAAAAGAAAUCAACCGAGAUUCCCCCAGUAGCGGCGAGCGAACGGGGAGGAGCCCAGAGCCUGAAUCAGCAUGUGUGUUAGUGGAAGCGUCUGGAAAGGCGCGCGAUACAGGGUGACAGCCCCGUACACAAAAGCGCAUGUGCUGUGAGCUCGAUGAGUAGGGCGGGACACGUGGUAUCCUGUCUGAAUAUGGGGGGACCAUCCUCCAAGGCUAAAUACUCCUGACUGACCGAUAGUGAACCAGUACCGUGAGGGAAAGGCGAAAAGAACCCCGGCGAGGGGAGUGAAAAAGAACCUGAAACCGUGUACGUACAAGCAGUGGGAGCCCCACCACCAAAGCAUUUGCUGUACCGCGUUGACGGAGCGAAGCGACGUCAAACCGAUAAAACAGCAGUGUAAAGUGAGCCGCAGGGCGCUUUGCGCGACAGCGCAAAGGCAGGCGGUUUCGCGUAGCGAAAGCGAAUGCUUUGGGGUGGGGUGACUGCGUACCUUUUGUAUAAUGGGUCAGCGACUUAUAUUCUGUAGCAAGGUUAACCGAAUAGGGGAGCCGGAGGGAAACCGAGUCUUAAUUGGGCGUUAAGUUGCAGGGUAUAGACCCGAAACCCGGUGAUCUAGCCAUGGGCAGGUUGAAGGUUGGGUAACACUAACUGGAGGACCGAACCGACUAAUGUUGAAAAAUUAGCGGAUGACCUGUGGCUGGGGGUGAAAGGCCAAUCAAACCGGGAGAUAGCUGGUUCUCCCCGAAAGCUAUUUAGGUAGCGCCUCGUGAAUUCAUCUCCGGGGGUAGAGCACUGUUUCGGCUAGGGGGCCAUCCCGGCUUACCAACCCGAUGCAAACUGCGAAUACCGGAGAAUGUUAUCACGGGAGACACACGGCGGGUGCUAACGUCCGUCGUGAAGAGGGAAACAACCCAGACCGCCAGCUAAGGUCCCAAAGUCAUGGUUAAGUGGGAAACGAUGUGGGAAGGCCCAGACAGCCAGGAUGUUGGCUUAGAAGCAGCCAUCAUUUAAAGAAAGCGUAAUAGCUCACUGGUCGAGUCGGCCUGCGCGGAAGAUGUAACGGGGCUAAACCAUGCACCGAAGCUGCGGCAGCGACGCUUAUGCGUUGUUGGGUAGGGGAGCGUUCUGUAAGCCUGUGAAGGUGUGUCGUGAGGCAUGCUGGAGGUAUCAGAAGUGCGAAUGCUGACAUAAGUAACGAUAAAGCGGGUGAAAAGCCCGCUCGCCGGAAGACCAAGGGUUCCUGUCCAACGUUAAUCGGGGCAGGGUGAGUCGACCCCUAAGGCGAGGCCGAAAGGCGUAGUCGAUGGGAAACGGGUUAAUAUUCCCGUACUUGGUGUUACUGCGAAGGGGGGACGGAGAAGGCUAUGUUGGCCGGGCGACGGUUGUCCCGGUUUAAGCGUGUAGGUGUGUGUUCCAGGUAAAUCCGGUUCACUUUAACACUGAGGCGUGACGACGAGGCACUACGGUGCUGAAGCAACAAAUGCCCUGCUUCCAGGAAAAGCCUCUAAGCAUCAGGUAACAUCAAAUCGUACCCCAAACCGACACAGGUGGUCAGGUAGAGAAUACCAAGGCGCUUGAGAGAACUCGGGUGAAGGAACUAGGCAAAAUGGUGCCGUAACUUCGGGAGAAGGCACGCUGACACGUAGGUGAAGUGAUUUACUCAUGGAGCUGAAGUCAGUCGAAGAUACCAGCUGGCUGCAACUGUUUAUUAAAAACACAGCACUGUGCAAACACGAAAGUGGACGUAUACGGUGUGACGCCUGCCCGGUGCCGGAAGGUUAAUUGAUGGGGUCAGCGCAAGCGAAGCUCCUGAUCGAAGCCCCGGUAAACGGCGGCCGUAACUAUAACGGUCCUAAGGUAGCGAAAUUCCUUGUCGGGUAAGUUCCGACCUGCACGAAUGGCGUAAUGAUGGCCAGGCUGUCUCCACCCGAGACUCAGUGAAAUUGAACUCGCUGUGAAGAUGCAGUGUACCCGCGGCAAGACGGAAAGACCCCGUGAACCUUUACUAUAGCUUGACACUGAACAUUGAGCCUUGAUGUGUAGGAUAGGUGGGAGGCUUUGAAGUGUGGACGCCAGUCUGCAUGGAGCCGACCUUGAAAUACCACCCUUUAAUGUUUGAUGUUCUAACGUGGACCCGUUACCCGGGUUGCGGACAGUGUCUGGUGGGUAGUUUGACUGGGGCGGUCUCCUCCUAAAGAGUAACGGAGGAGCACGAAGGUUGGCUAAUCCUGGUCGGACAUCAGGAGGUUAGUGCAAUGGCAUAAGCCAGCUUGACUGCGAGCGUGACGGCGCGAGCAGGUGCGAAAGCAGGUCAUAGUGAUCCGGUGGUUCUGAAUGGAAGGGCCAUCGCUCAACGGAUAAAAGGUACUCCGGGGAUAACAGGCUGAUACCGCCCAAGAGUUCAUAUCGACGGCGGUGUUUGGCACCUCGAUGUCGGCUCAUCACAUCCUGGGGCUGAAGUAGGUCCCAAGGGUAUGGCUGUUCGCCAUUUAAAGUGGUACGCGAGCUGGGUUUAGAACGUCGUGAGACAGUUCGGUCCCUAUCUGCCGUGGGCGCUGGAGAACUGAGGGGGGCUGCUCCUAGUACGAGAGGACCGGAGUGGACGCAUCACUGGUGUUCGGGUUGUCAUGCCAAUGGCACUGCCCGGUAGCUAAAUGCGGAAGAGAUAAGUGCUGAAAGCAUCUAAGCACGAAACUUGCCCCGAG
This 2759-nucleotide ribosomal RNA is filed under the name Salmonella enterica subsp. enterica serovar Enteritidis. Its description in RNAcentral is "partial 23S ribosomal RNA". It matches the Rfam family "Bacterial large subunit ribosomal RNA". Lineage: Bacteria; Pseudomonadati; Pseudomonadota; Gammaproteobacteria; Enterobacterales; Enterobacteriaceae. The record is from RNAcentral.